CCUACGGGGGGCUGCAGUAGGGAAUUUUCCACAAUGGACGAAAGUCUGAUGGAGCAACGCCGCGUGCAGGAUGAAGGCUUUCGGGUCGUAAACUGCUUUUAUAUGUGACGAUUAUGACGGUAGCAUAUGAAUAAGGAUCGGCUAACUCCGUGCCAGCAGCCGCGGUCAUACGGAGGAUCCAAGCGUUAUCCGGAAUUACUGGGCGUAAAGAGUUGCGUAGGUGGCAUAGUAAGCAGGUAGUGAAAGCGUUCGGCUCAACCGAAUACACAUUAUCU
Molecule: ribosomal RNA, 275 nt
Filed under: uncultured bacterium
Lineage: Bacteria
Description: partial 16S ribosomal RNA
Rfam family: Bacterial small subunit ribosomal RNA
Source: RNAcentral